Molecule: ribosomal RNA, 424 nt
Filed under: uncultured prokaryote
Description: bacterial SSU rRNA
Rfam family: Bacterial small subunit ribosomal RNA
Source: RNAcentral
UGGGGAAUAUUGGUCAAUGGGGGCAACCCUGAUCCAGCCAUGCCGCGUGCGUGAAGAAGGCCUUAGGGUUGUAAAGCGCUUUCAGCGGGGACGAUGAUGACGGAACCCUCAGAAGAAGCACCGGCUAACUCCGUGCCAGCAGCCGCGGUAAUACGGAGGGGGCAAGCGUUGUUCGGAAUUACUGGGCGUAAAGGGCGCGUAGGCGGCACAUCAAGUCAGAGGUGAAAGCCCCGGGCUCAACCUGGGAAUUGCCUUUGAAACUGAUUAGCUAGAGUCCGGAAGAGGAUAGCGGAAUUCCCAGUGUAGAGGUGAAAUUCGUAGAUAUUUGGAAGAACACCGGUGGCGAAGGCGGCUAUCUGGUCCGGUACUGACGCUGAGGCGCGAAAGCGUGGGGAGCAAACAGGAUUAGAUACCCCCGUAGUCC